GGGGGAUGGAAACAAUUUUAUUGGGGGGAAUGUUAAAACAACCAUAUACAAUUCGAACAAAUACAACAUAACACAGUUUGUUCCCCAGGUUUUCUAAUUACAGUAUUUACAGGUUUAAUAAGGCACUGGUUCUCAAAAAAGAACACAAAUUAGUUUCUUAGUCUCUACAUUGACAACCUUUUCUUUAAUAGAAAUAACUUUGUGCUAGAGAAAGAAUAGCAGUUGCUAGAUGGCAUCUUUUCUUUUUCCACUUAUAUAUGCCAUCUCACCUAUGCCAGUAAGAAACUAAGAUACACUUCCUUGAAUGAUUUACAUUUGAAAAGUGGAUUUCUAGACCCGUGGGCAUUGAGGCCAAAAUAACCUUUACCAAGCCCUCAUCAAUGUGCCCUUUGAAGCUACCAAAAUAUGGAAGUGACAUUAAAAGGCCACACCUGGCAAAAUAAACAGACUAACCUGCAGUCACUGCAGGUGCUGAAACCUUAAUAAUGACACGCUGAGUGUUGCAGGGAGUCACUCAUUUGGGCAUUCUGACUCAAAUGUCACAGUGCUCGAACAAAACACCUCCACACUUGCCUUAGGCUCUUUUUUGGCCUUAGGAAUAGCCCUUCACAAUAGAUUACAGUGGACAGGAGAUUUGAGGGACAAAAUCUGGUCUUGGGAGAAAAUAGACAGGCACUAGUUACACAACCACAGACUGUUUGCUUUCUCAUUGUGUGUCUCCUCAUAUAUAUAUAUAUUUAUAUAUUUAUAUAUUUUCCUAUACAGCACCGUUGCAGUGAUUUGUCAUUUAUGCAUUUUCAUAAAUAAAUAUUAUGUUUUAUUUAGUGCUUUUUCAUCCAUAAUAGUUUACUCUUAAUCCACAUACUGGAGCUAUUCCAGACUUGCAACUGAAUAUAUAUAUAUAUAUAUUUAUAUAUAUAAAAACACAUAAACUUGAACAUUUAACAUACACACUUUAUGUGAUCUAUCAACCAAUAUCUUAGACUCUUUUCUUCUGGACCAAAAAAAGGUAAGAUUUGCUCAGGAAACCAAUGACUGGCCCUUUCUCCUGCAACACACUGAUGGCAGGUGCCAGGGACAUUCAUUGCAUGCCUCGUGCUCCCAGCUGGCAAAGCACCCUCCAAAACACUCCUGGGGAGAGAGCCCUGCUAAUUAAAAAAAAAAAAAAAAAAAA
This 1174-nucleotide long non-coding RNA is filed under the name Taeniopygia guttata (zebra finch). RNAcentral describes it as "lncRNA (ENSTGUG00000020865.1)". Lineage: Eukaryota; Metazoa; Chordata; Aves; Passeriformes; Estrildidae. The record is from RNAcentral.